UGCAGUCGAACGCUGAAGCCCCAGCUUGCUGGGGUGGAUGAGUGGCGAACGGGUGAGUAACACGUGAGUAACCUGCCCCUGACUUCGGGAUAAGCCCGGGAAACUGGGUCUAAUACCGGAUACGACCGGCCUACGCAUGUGGGUGGGUGGAAAGUUUUUUCGGUUGGGGAUGGGCUCGCGGCCUAUCAGUUUGUUGGUGAGGUAAUGGCUCACCAAGACGACGACGGGUAGCCGGCCUGAGAGGGCGACCGGCCACACUGGGACUGAGACACGGCCCAGACUCCUACGGGAGGCAGCAGUGGGGAAUAUUGCACAAUGGGGGAAACCCUGAUGCAGCGACGCAGCGUGCGGGAUGACGGCCUUCGGGUUGUAAACCGCUUUCAGCAGGGAAGAAGCGAAAGUGACGGUACCUGCAGAAGAAGUACCGGCUAACUACGUGCCAGCAGCCGCGGUAAUACGUAGGGUACGAGCGUUGUCCGGAAUUAUUGGGCGUAAAGAGCUCGUAGGUGGUUGGUCACGUCUGCUGUGGAAACGCAACGCUUAACGUUGCGCGUGCAGUGGGUACGGGCUGACUAGAGUGCAGUAGGGGAGUCUGGAAUUCCUGGUGUAGCGGUGAAAUGCGCAGAUAUCAGGAGGAACACCGGUGGCGAAGGCGGGACUCUGGGCUGUAACUGACACUGAGGAGCGAAAGCAUGGGGAGCG
Molecule: ribosomal RNA, 702 nt
Filed under: bacterium SCSIO13131
Lineage: Bacteria
Description: bacterial SSU rRNA
Rfam family: Bacterial small subunit ribosomal RNA
Source: RNAcentral